Non-coding RNA from Odocoileus virginianus texanus, 383 nucleotides. Lineage: Eukaryota; Metazoa; Chordata; Mammalia; Artiodactyla; Cervidae. The record is from RefSeq and is a predicted model, not a curated record.
CGGCGUUUGUCUAGGACAGAUUCCCUAAACCAGAGUAAGGAAUUGACGACCAACAGAAGCCAUGCAGUUCCAGUUGGCUGAGAAGGAAACAUGGGCUCAGUGGAUUGCAAAGCUAUCCUCUGAAGUGGAAAUAAACGUCUAGAGAGAUCUACUCUGCGAACCAAAGGUGAAACCAGAGGACGUUUCUGUCCCCCACCCUGGUAGACUUCAACAUCUAAAAGCCGUUGGAACAGGAGGUGACGGGUAGUGAGACAGAUGGGAGUCCUCCAGUUUUCUCUAGAGAAAGUUCUGCUAUGUACUCCAGCACCAUGCCUCUCAAAAACGCUUCACAAUCUACUAAGAAAGAUUUCUUAUUUCAACUGAAUGAAAACGCUCAGCCUUAA